AAACGAGCGACUUCCCUCCUCUCUCUCUCUCUUCUAUUUCCUCCCUCGCCCAGCCCAGCGCCGCCGCCAUCGCCUCCUCGCCCAGCCAAGCACCGAUGCCAUCGCCGCCUCCUCUCCGAGCGCCGCCGCCGCCGCCUCCUCUCCCAGCACCGCCGCCGACGCCAUAACCCCUUCCCCUAUAUCCCAUGGGGUCGGGGUGAGCACCGUCGACCCCAUCGUUUGUCCUCUGCCCACGCAAGUCCGUUCACCUCGGCCUCCUCCUGUGUCGUCGUCGGCCCAGCAGAGGCGGUCGAGCCGUUGAGCGUAGGGAUCUAGGCGGGGAAGAGCUGCAGCCGACCGCCAAGGGGGAGGGGCCCAAGGAUAGGCCUGCGCUGGCGGUGGCGAUGACGGAGGCGGAGGUGCAAGUGAAGGAGCAGGACGGAGGUGUGGUGGACAAGGCCGCCAUGGCCGCCUUUGACACAGCGCCUGCAUCUUCAUCCACUGCCUCUCUGCCAUGUGUCUUCUGAUUACCACAAUAACACAAUUUCCUUAUUCAUGCUUUACGGAUUCUUGCUGGAGGAGAUGAACUUUUAUGGCUGAUGCUGUUGUUAUUAUAGAGGAGCUGUUCAAGGCCAAGGUUUUCCUUGUGAGAAUGCCAUAAUUACAAGAAAAGAUUGCCUGAAAGGUCUUUAUGGAGAUGCACUCACUCGGUUAGAGGGCCUACCGAGGCUAGCGCGAGGUCUGCUAUGGCAUCGAUGAUGUAGGUGUCAUGACUGUGAGGACUGCUCACACUUCUCCGCUCACAAACCGUGUGGCAGAGUAAAUACUCCGGUCCACGACAAUUAGACCUUCCUCCCUCUCAGCUAUGGUGCCACAAAGUGCCCAGGCAGCAGGAAGCACAUAUAAAACCAUUGAUGCUCUUUUCCGUAGGAGAAAUAAGUGAACGGGCAAUCUUUUCAUCUCUGUAUAAAUUCAGAUGUGAUUAGCCAGGUCCAGAAGUUGGAUUCUUGAUGUGCACAUAAAUACGUUGAGAAGAUGGAACUAGAAUUAAGCUUCCGUCCAUCUGCAGGUCACGGCUAACGUCAUCAAGCAUCAACAUCAAGAAACAAGCAGCCAACAGAAUGCAGCAAAGCAGCUAGCGGCAGCAAGCAGCAAACAACAUCAGCAGCAUGCAGCCAGCAACAUGCAGAGGCGAUUUCUCACCUUGCUGUUAGUGCCGAGGUCGGGCGGAGCAGAGCAACGAGCUCCACACAGUGGCAAUGAUGGUCAGCGUCGAGGAAGAAUUAGGAGGGACCCAUGGCUUCGAAUGCCGAGGUCGGGCGGAGCAGAGCAACGAGCACCACACAGCGGCAAUGACGGUCAGCGUUGAGGAAUAAGUAGGAGGGACCCAUGGCGUGGUCCAGGGGAGACGUGGACAACGCGGAGCCCAUCACGGUCUGUCGAGCUGUUCGGUGAGGAGGAUGACCGCAGCGGCGACCGACGGAACCGAAGAAGGCAGCCUCGGUCCAAGAGGUUCCUGCGCGCUGGCACCCGGAAUCACCAUUAAAGGGACGACAGGAGCAACAUUAAUGAAGCUAGGAGUCUACUAGGAGCAAGAAUGCACCAGAAAUACGAGGUGGUUCCCGGCGGUGUCCAGCGGGCAUGCAUGUCAGAGCCAGAGGUGUGGACGUCGAUCCCGACCGAGGGCUGGUGUAUCCGGCCGAUUCAUUCGGUUGACGUUGCAACAGCGACUGGCAUCCCCGGCGAGCUGGACGAGAAAGGGGAUCUAGGAGGGAAAUGAAGUGAGGGAAGCAACGGGGCAGAGUAGGAGAAAAGGUGAAGGGGCAGGGGUUUGCCGGCGCGUGUCCCUGCGAGAUGGUGAUGUGGGCGUGGUGGUUCAGUAGUGGGGGCCGGUGGCAGCUGUCUUCCACCAUGUAUGCUGAAGGCAUUCCAUCUAAAACAACAUUGAGUGCGUGCUUAGAUCAGGUAAGACAAUGGCAAGAAUAAAUCCACCUAUCUGACUUUCCUCUAGGCAUUUCAAUUUGUCAGGAGCUGAAAUAUUGUGACCCGUGUUCAUUUAUGUGUUGCUAACUUUACAAGCGGCAAUCACACACUGCUUACACCAUGUACUAUUGGAUUGACGCACUUCCUUGAGCUCUAUGCGGUGCACC
RNAcentral lists this ribosomal RNA (2129 nucleotides) under Triticum aestivum (bread wheat). Its description in RNAcentral is "partial small subunit ribosomal RNA". The record is from RNAcentral. Lineage: Eukaryota; Viridiplantae; Streptophyta; Magnoliopsida; Poales; Poaceae.